Long non-coding RNA from Cyprinus carpio carpio, 971 nucleotides. Lineage: Eukaryota; Metazoa; Chordata; Actinopteri; Cypriniformes; Cyprinidae. The record is from Ensembl.
GGCUUUACCGAGCUCAGCGGCUCUGGUCCGAGCAGAGAUAUAUAUAUAUAUAUAUUUUAAAAAGGGGGCAGGUACAGCAAAUGUACAGCCUUUUGCACUCUGCAUCGUAAACAUAUAUUGGAUGCUAACAUUGUCUUCUAUGAUGUGCAACACAAACACCUCUGCUGAAAUGUCAGAAAAAGUAGUUUGGGGUUUCAUGACCCUUUAAACGCUUGUGUUUUUUUGGGUCGGCAGCUUAUAAAAAAGUAGUUCUGUUUUUUUUAGCUUGUUUACUGUACAGAUUGUCACAUACUGUAGCAGCUUUUAGAUAUUGUCCUCCUCCUGGAGGAGGGCCAGGUGGAGAAUCUGGAAAUCUCGAUGAAAGAGCAUUUUUUUCUGUCUCUGGGUCCCAGGAGGGCACGGAGAUUUGUGGACGGCCAAGCACCGGACCUCACUCAUCCUCCUCCUUCACCAGAUGGCAGCAGCGUGCGGUUCGAGAGUGCCAACAAAGGCGCUACUUACGCACCCUCUGCCAACCUGUGGAACCAGACAGACGCUAUAUUGGAGGAAGAAUACAGUGACAGCAAAAAGAUGACCCUGAUAUCUGCCAGCACACAACCUGAUGACAUCUCUGAGGGGUAAAGUGUGCAUUAUUGAAAAGGAAACCAUUCAGCAUGGAUGGAUUUGAGUUUCUAUCUUCUUGAGAAUUUCCGAUAAUACAAUCCAUCUGCCUCCACAUUUGUAACUGAAUAAGUCUCCUUCGAUCAAAACACUAUAGACAUUUUUGUGAAGUCUGAAACUGACACAUAAAUUGACAGUAAUCACAUGCUUCUGUGUUCUGCUGUGCCCAUUCAUGUGUUCUGAUCCUUAAAUUGAAGGGUGUGGUUUUGAAAUAACAAUAGCUUCCAUAUGGAAACUUGGCUGAGCUCAAAGCUUUCUCAGUAACUGGCUAGUUUUAUUAAAUCACUAAUGCAACUUUGUACAAUUCUCUU